Molecule: ribosomal RNA, 406 nt
Filed under: Diaulula sandiegensis
Lineage: Eukaryota; Metazoa; Mollusca; Gastropoda; Nudibranchia; Discodorididae
Description: SSU rRNA
Rfam family: Eukaryotic small subunit ribosomal RNA
Source: RNAcentral
CCGACCUCCGCGAGGGGGAAGGGGCGCUUUUAUUAGUUCAAAACCGGUGGCGCGCGUCCGGGGCGACUCGGGCGCGCCCUCCCCCUUGAUGACUCUGGAUAACUUUGAGCUGAUCGCACGGCCUCUGCGCCGGCGACGCAUCUUUCAAAUGUCUGCCCUAUCAAAUGUCGACGGUACGUGACAUGCCUACCGUGUUGGCGACGGGUGACGGGGAAUCAGGGUUCGAUUCCGGAGAGGGAGCACGAGAAACGGCUACCACAUCCAAGGAAGGCAGCAGGCGCGCAACUUACCCACUCCCGGCACGGGGAGGUAGUGACGAAAAAUAACAAUACGGGACUCUUCAUGAGGCCCCGUAAUUGGAAUGAGCGCAGUCUAAACCCUUGAGCGAGGACCCAUUGGAGGGCAA